CUUCACUCUCUAAUCAUACACAUCAUCAUUAUUACUAACCCUGUAUCAUUUCCCCAUCUGUGCUUGUGUGUGUGUGCGUGUGUCUCCAGGUCAAUGUUUUCUGUUCCACUUUGUAAGCUAUGAAGGCAGGCACUUGGUCAAUACAGUGCUUUUUGUGCAGCAUCAAACUUAGCUCCAUGUAUGAUUAGGUCCCUAAAACAUUACUUUUGGUGAUGAUGAUGAUGAUCCACGAGUAGCUGGGGAUGCUAGAAGCAUUGGUAGUCAUCGGGAAAGGCUGGAGGUAAGUUCUGGAAUAUAGUUAAGACUCAGUGCCGCCCAAUGCUGUGGGUAGAAAAAAAGGAAAGGUACCCUUUGAUAUCUGUGAGAGAUAUAAAGGAAAGGAGUGUGUGUGAUGUGAGGCCAAAGAGAUGAGAAGUAUGGGAAGAGAAAACAGACUUGCUCCUGCAGCAUGGGGCCUAUUGCUGACUACUGACUACUACUACAUUCUCAGCACUUGUGGGGACCAAAGGGAAGCUUCUCCUCUCAAACAUUUGUGUUUACCUUUCUAUUUAAUGUGUGAAUAUUUUCUUUCCUGCACCGUGUGCGGUCAGUCCGUGACAAGUGUGCCCUAGGCUCUCAUGGUUGCCAGCACAUUUGUGUGAGUGAUGGGGCCGCAUCCUACCACUGUGAUUGCUAUCCUGGCUACACCUUAAAUGAGGAUAAGAAAACAUGUUCAGCCAUUGAGGAAGCACGAAGACUCAUUUCCACUGAAGAUGCUUGUGGAUGUGAAGCUACACUGGCAUUCCAGGA
RNAcentral lists this small RNA (789 nucleotides) under Pongo abelii (Sumatran orangutan). RNAcentral's name for it is "retained intron". Lineage: Eukaryota; Metazoa; Chordata; Mammalia; Primates; Hominidae. The record is from RNAcentral.